This 404-nucleotide ribosomal RNA is filed under the name uncultured bacterium. Its description in RNAcentral is "bacterial SSU rRNA". It matches the Rfam family "Bacterial small subunit ribosomal RNA", at positions 29 to 477 of the family's 1533-position model. The record is from RNAcentral.
AACGAACGCUGGCGGCAUGCCUAACACAUGCAAGUCGAACGAAGGCUUCGGCCUUAGUGGCGCACGGGUGCGUAACGCGUGGGAAUCUGCCCUUGGGUUCGGAAUAACUCAGAGAAAUUUGAGCUAAUACCGGAUGAUGACGUAAGUCCAAAGAUUUAUCGCUGAUGGAUGAGCCCGCGUUAGAUUAGGUAGUUGGUAGGGUAAUGGCCUACCAAGCCGACGAUCUAUAGCUGGUCUGAGAGGAUGAUCAGCCACACUGGGACUGAGACACGGCCCAGACUCCUACGGGAGGCAGCAGUGGGGAAUAUUGGACAAUGGGCGAAAGCCUGAUCCAGCAAUACCGCGUGAGUGAUGAAGGCCUUAGGGUUGUAAAGCUCUUUUAGUUAGGGAAGAUAAUGACGGUA